GUGCCAGCCGCCGCGGUAAUACCGGCAGCCCGAGUGAUGGCCGAUCUUAUUGGGCCUAAAGCGUCCGUAGCUGGCUGCGCAAGUCCGUCGGGAAAUCCACUCGCCCAACGAGUGGGCGUCCGACGGAAACUGUUCGGCUUGGGGCCGGAGGACCCGAGGGGUACGUCCGGGGUAGGAGUGAAAUCCCGUAAUCCCGGACGGACUACCGAUGGCGAAAGCACUCUGAGAAGACGGCUUCGACAGUGAGGGACGAAAGCUCGGGUCUCAAACCGGAUUAGAAACCCCUGUAGUCC
This 293-nucleotide ribosomal RNA is filed under the name uncultured bacterium. RNAcentral's name for it is "partial 16S ribosomal RNA". It matches the Rfam family "Archaeal small subunit ribosomal RNA", at positions 455 to 747 of the family's 1478-position model. The record is from RNAcentral.